Molecule: ribosomal RNA, 497 nt
Filed under: uncultured bacterium
Lineage: Bacteria
Description: partial 16S ribosomal RNA
Rfam family: Bacterial small subunit ribosomal RNA
Source: RNAcentral
GAUGAACGCUGGCGGCGUGCCUAAUACAUGCAAGUCGAGCGAACAGACGAGGAGCUUGCUCCUCUGACGUUAGCGGCGGACGGGUGAGUAAAACGUGGAUAACCUACCUAUAAGACUGGGAUAACUUCGGGAAACCGGAGCUAAUACCGGAUAAUAUAUUGAACCGCAUGGUUCAAUAGUGAAAGACGGUUUUGCUGGCACUUAUAGAUGGAUCCGCGCCGCAUUAGCUAGUUGGUAAGGUAACGGCUUACCAAGGCAACGAUGCGUAGCCGACCUGAGAGGGUGAUCGGCCACACUGGAACUGAGACACGGUCCAGACUCCUACGGGAGGCAGCAGUAGGGAAUCUUCCGCAAUGGGCGAAAGCCUGACGGAGCAACGCCGCGUGAGUGAUGAAGGUCUUCGGAUCGUAAAACUCUGUUAUUAGGGAAGAACAAAUGUGUAAGUAACUAUGCACGUCUUGACGGUACCUAAUCAGAAAGCCACGGCUAACUACGUG